Molecule: ribosomal RNA, 450 nt
Filed under: uncultured bacterium
Lineage: Bacteria
Description: bacterial SSU rRNA
Rfam family: Bacterial small subunit ribosomal RNA
Source: RNAcentral
GUGGGGAAUCUUGCGCAAUGGGCGAAAGCCUGACGCAGCGACGCCGCGUGGGGGAGGAAGCCCUUCGGGGUGUAAACCCCUGUCAGAGGGGAAGAAUGGGCACCCGAGGAAAUGCGGGUGUUUUGACGGUACCCUCAGAGGAAGCACCGGCUAACUCUGUGCCAGCAGCCGCGGUAAUACAGAGGGUGCGAGCGUUGUUCGGAAUUACUGGGCGUAAAGCGCGCGCAGGCGGUUCGAUAAGUCUGAUGUGAAAUCCCCGGGCUCAACCUGGGAACUGCGUUGGAAACUGUCGGGCUAGAGUGUAGAAGAGGGGGGUAGAAUUCCACGUGUAGCAGUGAAAUGCGUAGAGAUGUGGAGGAAUACCGAUGGCGAAGGCAGCCCCCUGGGCUAACACUGACGCUCAUGCACGAAAGCGUGGGGAGCAAACAGGAUUAGAAACCCGUGUAGUCC